This 520-nucleotide ribosomal RNA is filed under the name Escherichia coli. Its description in RNAcentral is "partial 23S ribosomal RNA". It matches the Rfam family "Bacterial large subunit ribosomal RNA", at positions 2411 to 2925 of the family's 2925-position model. The record is from RNAcentral. Lineage: Bacteria; Pseudomonadati; Pseudomonadota; Gammaproteobacteria; Enterobacterales; Enterobacteriaceae.
CAUAGUGAUCCGGUGGUUCUGAAUGGAAGGGCCAUCGCUCAACGGAUAAAAGGUACUCCGGGGAUAACAGGCUGAUACCGCCCAAGAGUUCAUAUCGACGGCGGUGUUUGGCACCUCGAUGUCGGCUCAUCACAUCCUGGGGCUGAAGUAGGUCCCAAGGGUAUGGCUGUUCGCCAUUUAAAGUGGUACGCGAGCUGGGUUUAGAACGUCGUGAGACAGUUCGGUCCCUAUCUGCCGUGGGCGCUGGAGAAUUGAGGGGGGCUGCUCCUAGUACGAGAGGACCGGAGUGGACGCAUCACUGGUGUUCGGGUUGUCAUGCCAAUGGCACUGCCCGGUAGCUAAAUGCGGAAGAGAUAAGUGCUGAAAGCAUCUAAGCACGAAACUUGCCCCGAGAUGAGUUCUCCCUGACUCCUUGAGAGUCCUGAAGGAACGUUGAAGACGACGACGUUGAUAGGCCGGGUGUGUAAGCGCAGCGAUGCGUUGAGCUAACCGGUACUAAUGAACCGUGAGGCUUAACCUU